UUGGGUCGAUCAAGGAAGGAGCUAGGUCCCGUGGAAGAGGGACUAGGCUUGGCUGGGGAUAGACUGGGGGGCCCUGUGGUGGCAUCUGAUGAUAUAGUGGGGGGUACCGGGCAGUACGGUGGCUGGGGCACCGGUUCAUACUGCGGCGGUGGUGCCGGGUGGUACUGUAGUGGAGCAGGCUCGUGCCGGGAUGGCUCGGGAUCCGUUUUUUGUAGCGGUGGCUCAACCUGUGGUAGUGGGGGAGGAUUCAGGUAACUCCCUUCUCUCCUCUCGACCUUGCUGGGCGACCAUGAUCCUUUCCAGCAUCUCAGAUAUUCUGUCCACAUCUUCCCGAAGCGAAUCAUCCCGGGCUGCUUGGUUUAGUAGGGGUCUUCCUCUCCUCAUUUCUCUGCACCUGCAUUUCAUAAGGAAGAGUUGAGUAACGAUUUAUCGGUGGGUAUUUCUCUAAGCAUUAUUGUGUAAGGGAUGAGUCUGAGGAACGCAGC
Molecule: long non-coding RNA, 485 nt
Filed under: Carica papaya (papaya)
Lineage: Eukaryota; Viridiplantae; Streptophyta; Magnoliopsida; Brassicales; Caricaceae
Description: long non-coding RNA (CPAP_LNC004687)
Source: RNAcentral